GGUCCAGACUUUGAUCAGGGGUCAGGAUGAACGCUAGCUACAGGCUUAACACAUGCAAGUCGAGGGGAAACGACAUCGAAAGCUUGCUUUUGAUGGGCGUCGACCGGCGCACGGGUGAGUAACGCGUAUCCAACCUGCCCACCACUUGGGGAUAACCUUGCGAAAGUAAGACUAAUACCCAAUGACGUCUCUAGAAGACAUCUGAAAGAGAUUAAAGAUUUAUCGGUGAUGGAUGGGGAUGCGUCUGAUUAGCUUGUUGGCGGGGUAACGGCCCACCAAGGCAACGAUCAGUAGGGGUUCUGAGAGGAAGGUCCCCCACAUUGGAACUGAGACACGGUCCAAACUCCUACGGGAGGCAGCAGUGAGGAAUAUUGGUCAGUGGACGAGAGUCUGAACCAGCCAAGUAGCGUGCAGGAUGACGGCCCUAUGGGUUGUAAACUGCUUUUAUAAGGGAAUAAAGUGAGUCUCGUGAGACUUUUUGCAUGUACCUUAUGAAUAAGGACCGGCUAAUUCCGUGCCAGCAGCCGCGGUAAUACGGAAGGUCCGGGCGUUAUCCGGAUUUAUUGGGUUUAAAGGGAGCGUAGGCCGGAGAUUAAGCGUGUUGUGAAAUGUAGACGCUCAACGUCUGCACUGCAGCGCGAACUGGGUUCCUUGAGUACGCACAAAGUGGGCGGAAUUCGUGGUGUAGCAGUGAAAUGCUUAGAUAUCACGAAGAACUCCGAUUGCGAAGGCAGCUCACUGGGAGCGCAACUGACGCUGAAGCUCGAAAGUGCGGGUAUCGAACAGGAUUAGAUACCCUGGUAGUCCGCACGGUAAACGAUGGAUGCCCGCUGUUGGUCUGAAUAGGUCAGCGGCCAAGCGAAAGCAUUAAGCAUCCCACCUGGGGAGUACUCCGGCACCGGUGAAACUCAAAGGACAUCGACGGAGGGGCGAACAGGCGUCCGCUUAUCAU
This 952-nucleotide ribosomal RNA is filed under the name uncultured bacterium. RNAcentral describes it as "bacterial SSU rRNA". It matches the Rfam family "Bacterial small subunit ribosomal RNA", at positions 1 to 943 of the family's 1533-position model. The record is from RNAcentral.